UACGUAGGGGGCUAGCGUUGUCCGGAAUCAUUGGGCGUAAAGAGCGCGUAGGCGGCCCGGUAAGUCUGCUGUAAAAGUCAAAGGCUUAACCUUUGAAAGUCAGUGGAUACUGCCGGGCUAGAGUCCGGAAGAGGCGAGUGGAACUCCUGGUGUAGCGGUGGAAUGCGCAGAUAUCAGGAAGAACACCAGCGGCGAAGGCAGCUCGCUGGGACGGAACUGACGCUGAGGCGCGAAAGCGUGGGGAGCAAACAGG
This 253-nucleotide ribosomal RNA is filed under the name uncultured bacterium. RNAcentral describes it as "partial 16S ribosomal RNA". It matches the Rfam family "Bacterial small subunit ribosomal RNA", at positions 524 to 776 of the family's 1533-position model. The record is from RNAcentral.